CGACCGGUACCCGUCCUACCUGAAACACCCUCAAAUUUUAUUCGAGGUAAACUCUCUCAAAUUCGAGGUAAACUCUCUCAAAUUCGCUAUCGGUGAAUACAUGUGAGUGGAGAAAAAAAAGCAAAAUGGGGGAUUGGGCUAAAAAGAAACUUAUGGAAUUUUUGUGACCUGUCAAAAAUGACAAACAAAUUUUGCAAAACAAAACAAUGGGUUUCGGAUUUUAAGAGUAAGUUUUUGUUAAUUGUUUUGAUUUUUAAUAUAAUUUGAUAUUUUUCAGACCAAAAUUCUUUAUAAUGAAGGGGGUAUAUACAAGUUCACUUCAUUGAAUAAAAAGUAAGUCAAAUUGCAGUGAAGAAGAUGCAACAAUCGAGUUAUUUUAUAGUCUGUCUUUUCAUUUUAGAUAGUGCCAUAAUGCAGAAAGCAAUUUCCCUUAUAUUAUAUUUCUCUUAACAAAAUAAUAUCAAUGUUUUUAACUACAGAUAUGCUUCUCAACUGCAAUAGCUGCCGCAGGUGUUGACGGCGGAGGUGUCACCAUCAAAACCAUUAGAAACAACACGACCAAGUCAAUGAUGCAAGUGGAAGUUUUGCCAUGUAAUAGUUGACCGCUGACGCCCUUCUCCAUCGAUUGUGUAAGUACGUAUCGAAACAUUCAUAUCGUAGUCAACUAGCUUAAUCUUCAUCUUCUAGGUAUAAAGAGUACUACCAAUCUGCAGUUCUGCAAGAGACGCAAACAAAACAAGAAUACAAUCGCAGGAAGACUCCAAAAAAUGUCCAACCCUGACUGUAAGUGAGUUCAAAUUUUAAAUCUACAACGAAUCCAUUUAUUUUGCUCCUAAGGAUCGCAUUGGCUUAACGGUGCCAAUCAUUCGGAGGCAAAUGAGCUGGCCCGACAAGAAUCCCCAAGAAGCCAAACAGAUUCAGAUCAGUCUCUCGGCAGCUACUGACGAUGUCGGCGAGUUGAAUCCAUCGAUUUUCACACAGAAAAUCAACAUCAAAAAAAUCACGACAAUUCAGCAGCGUCAUGGUCAACCUGCCGAUCAACCAUUCACAGUGAACAACCCCUAUUCGUAGCAGAAUGCGAACACAAUGUCAUCAAGCCGGAGUACCAUCCAGGAUCGAUCAAGUAUCGCAUUCAAUUGUUGUGCGUUGUGAAGAGCCACUGAAGCCUGGCACGUCCACUGAAUUGAUCCUCAAGCUUACUAACCCAACGAUGUACCAUAUGACCACAACCAUUAUGAAACUGCCAACCAAGGAAGAAGAACGGCGAAUGAUUACUUCGAAUAAAAGUUCAACGAAAGGAACCAAAAUUCACCACUUGGAGAAAGUCCAAUAACGUAACAAUCAAAUUGAACUUCACACCUGAAGAAGGACUGAAACCAGGCGAUGAUGUUACCCUUAGUUUUUUGAUGAAAUAUACUUUUGUGAAUACAUACACACGCCCGAAAAGAAAGAACGUCAAAAACACGCAUUAUCAUCGAAAGUUUUUGUAAAAGUUGGUCAAAUUGAAGCCUAGAUUUAUUUCUAUGUACAUAUAUCUAGAAAAUAAUCUUUUUUGCAAAAAACUUGUUUAUUUAUUUUGAGCUAUAGUGUAAUUUUGUAUAUAUUGUAUAUUCUAUUGUUUCUUUGCUGACUAGGAUUAUUUUUAUUCAAAACUAUUUAUGAUUUACUUUACUUAAUAAUAAAGGAAUUUGUUUUGAAUUCAAAGAUGUUGGUGCUUUUUGCUUCAGGGGACCUACAUAACUAUAAUUUUCGUUGGAAAAACGAAUAAGCUGUAUAAAGUAUAUUUUUCUUUAUUGAGGCAUUACAAAUUUAAUAUUUGUAAUACUUAUUCUUCUUAUGUUUUGGUUCAUCACAUCCGUGUGUAUUCUUUCGCGAUUCCAUGUGGUUAACAGACUCAUGAGUUUCAUUUGACUCUACCUAAAGUAUUGAAUUGUAAUACUUUUAUGGUUUUAAAUAGUUCGUGAGUUUAUUUUUGAUGCUGAUUACGAAUACGAACUUCGAUUUUAGCUAAAAAAAAACUAUUUUUCAACAUUAUUUUUAUCUAUUUUCAAUUUACUACAGGAACUUGAUGUUUUAACCUAAGACUAAAAAAUCCUAAUAAAAAGUACGAAACAAAUUUGAACGAAAUACUAAGGAAAAAUAUUGUAGGUUUGAAAAAACAUACAUAACUCAUUUUUUUUUGAAAAAAGCUAUUUCAUGAAUUUAGAUUAAAAAGUCUACAUGUUUAUUGAUUUAAAUAAUUCCUUAUCACAGAAAAGAAUGCAAUAUUAUUGUUAAGGACUUUUAACUAAUGUGAAUUUUAAUUGUAUAAUCUAAACAAAUUGUUUUUAUUCAUAUACUCAUCCUCGCCAACAAAAAUGGAACAUUAACCAUUUUGAACGGAUCGAUUCAAAAUCGAACACUAUGAACAAAAGAAAACAUAAGAAAUUAACAACUUGAAAAUCCAAAAAGCCAGAAGUUAAGCUGCAACAAAGCAUUAACAGCACCAACAGUAAAUAAAUGAACGCUCAUAGAGUGUUAGAGAAAUUAAUAGCUUAUCAAAUAAUAUUGACUUUAAUUUUCAUAUUAAUAGAAAUAACUUCAAAUAUAUGUAUGCUUAGUUUAUUUUUUUUAAUUUUACAUUCUUAGUUUAUAAUAUAAUAUUUUAAAUAAAACUUGUCAUAUUCAUUAGUCUA
Molecule: long non-coding RNA, 2675 nt
Organism: Eupeodes corollae
Lineage: Eukaryota; Metazoa; Arthropoda; Insecta; Diptera; Syrphidae
Exons: 3
Source: RefSeq, a predicted model, not a curated record